Molecule: ribosomal RNA, 489 nt
Filed under: uncultured bacterium
Lineage: Bacteria
Description: bacterial SSU rRNA
Rfam family: Bacterial small subunit ribosomal RNA
Source: RNAcentral
AGUGAACGCUAGCGGCAGGCCUAACACAUGCAAGUCGAGGGGCAGCACAAAAGGUAGCUUGCUAUCUUUGGUGGCGACCGGCGCACGGGUGCGUAACGCGUAUGCAACCUACCCAUAACAGGGGGAUAACACUGAGAAAUUGGUACUAAUACCCCAUAACAUCAGAUGUGGCAUCACAUUUGGUUGAAAACUCCGGUGGUUAUGGAUGGGCAUGCGUUGUAUUAGGUAGAUGGCGGGGUAACGGCCCACCAUGCCUACGAUGUCUAGGGGUUCUGAGAGGAAGGUCCCCCACACUGGAACUGAGACACGGUCCAGACUCCUACGGGAGGCAGCAGUGAGGAAUAUUGGUCAAUGGUCUGACGACUGAACCAGCCAUGCCGCGUGAAGGUGACGGCCCUAUGGGUCUUAAACUUCUUUUGUAAGGGAGCAAUAAGGUUCACGUGUGGACUGAUGAGAGUACCUUACGAAUAAGCAUCGGCUAACUCCGUG